CGAUCGCGCGGUAUGGCGCCGAAAGGUAUUACCGUGAGGAAAGUCCGGGCAUCACAGGGCAGGAUAACGGAUAACGUCCGCCGAGGGUGACCUCCGGGAAAGUGCAACAGAGAUAUACCGCCUCAGGUGCCGCUUAGUUUUAUACGAAGGGUGCCGAGGGGUCCUCAUAUUAUGCGCAAGCAUGAUUUGGGGUUCUCCGAGGGGUCCUCAAAUUAUGCGCAAGCAUGAUUUGGGGUUCCUGAGGUAAGGGUGGAAAGGCGAGGUAAGAGCUCACCGGCAUUGGUGGCAACAUCAUGCAAAUGUAAACCCUAUCCGAUGCAACACCGUGUGAAAGAAGGGCUGCCCGUCCGCCCCGCAAGGGGAUUUCCGAGGUGGCACGGAGCUGUGCGGCAACGCAUACGCCAAGACAGAUGACCGUCAUAAACAGAACCCGGCUUACGGCACGGC
RNAcentral lists this RNase P RNA (447 nucleotides) under bovine gut metagenome. RNAcentral's name for it is "Bacterial RNase P class A". It matches the Rfam family "Bacterial RNase P class A". From Rfam's summary of the family: Ribonuclease P (RNase P) is a ubiquitous endoribonuclease, found in archaea, bacteria and eukarya as well as chloroplasts and mitochondria. Its best characterised activity is the generation of mature 5'-ends of tRNAs by cleaving the 5'-leader elements of precursor-tRNAs. The record is from RNAcentral.